GAUGAACGCUGGCGGCGUGCUUAACACAUGCAAGUCGAACGAAGCACCUUGAUUCGAUUCUUCGGAUGAAGAUCUUGGUGACUGAGUGGCGGACGGGUGAGUAACGCGUGGGUAACCUGCCUCAUACAGGGGGAUAACAGUUAGAAAUGACUGCUAAUACCGCAUAAGACCACCGCACCGCAUGGUGCAGGGGUAAAAACUCCGGUGGUAUGAGAUGGACCCGCGUCUGAUUAGGUAGUUGGUGGGGUAACGGCCUACCAAGCCGACGAUCAGUAGCCGACCUGAGAGGGUGACCGGCCACAUUGGGACUGAGACACGGCCCAAACUCCUACGGGAGGCAGCAGUGGGGAAUAUUGCAAAAUGGGGGAAACCCUGAUGCAGCGACGCCGCGUGAGCGAUGAAGUAUUUCGGUAUGUAAAGCUCUAUCAGCAGGGAAGAAAAUGACGGUACCUGACUAAGAAGCACCGGCUAAAUACGUG
RNAcentral lists this ribosomal RNA (479 nucleotides) under uncultured bacterium. RNAcentral describes it as "partial 16S ribosomal RNA". It matches the Rfam family "Bacterial small subunit ribosomal RNA", at positions 28 to 507 of the family's 1533-position model. The record is from RNAcentral.